GCCUCGAUAGUCUAAAGGUUUAGAACGCUCGUAUGGAAUACAAGAGAUCCGGAUUCGAUUCCCGGCCGAGGUA
RNAcentral lists this transfer RNA (73 nucleotides) under Atta cephalotes. It matches the Rfam family "tRNA". From Rfam's summary of the family: Transfer RNA (tRNA) molecules are approximately 80 nucleotides in length. Their secondary structure includes four short double-helical elements and three loops (D, anti-codon, and T loops). Lineage: Eukaryota; Metazoa; Arthropoda; Insecta; Hymenoptera; Formicidae. The record is from Rfam by way of RNAcentral.